Molecule: ribosomal RNA, 253 nt
Filed under: uncultured bacterium
Lineage: Bacteria
Description: partial 16S ribosomal RNA
Rfam family: Bacterial small subunit ribosomal RNA
Source: RNAcentral
UACGUAGGCAGCAAGCGUUGUUCGGAAUUACUGGGCGUAAAGAGUGUGUAGGCGGUGCUCUAAGUUCGGUGUGAAAUCUCCCGGCUCAACUGGGAGGGUGCGCCGGAAACUGGGGUGCUGGAGCGCGGGAGAGGAAAGCGGAGUUCCUGGUGUAGCGGUGAAAUGCGUAGAUAUCAGGAGGAACACCGGCGGUGUAGACGGCUUUCUGGACCGUAGCUGACGCUGAGACACGAAAGCGUGGGUAGCAAACAGG